CAAUAGCGUAUAUUAAAGUUGUUGCAGUUAAAAAGCUCGUAGUUGGAUUUCUGGUUGAAGCGACCGGUCGGGCGUUGAUUCGUCUGCACUGGAGUCGGUUUUGGCCAUCCUCUAGGAAAGUGCGUCUGGUAUUAAGUUAUCGGGCGUAUGAUCCUGGUCUUUUACUGUGAAAAAAUUAGAGUGUUUAAAGCAGGCCUUCGCCUUGAAUACAUUAGCAUGGAGUAAUAAGAUAGGACUUUGGUCUAUUUUGUUGGUUUGCAGACCGAAGUAAUGAUUAAUAGGGAUAGUUGGGGGUAUUUAUAUUCCGAUGUCAGAGGUGAAAUUCUUAGAUUUUCGGAAGAUAAACUUAUGCGAAAGCAUUUACCAAGGAUGUUUUCAUUAA
This 382-nucleotide ribosomal RNA is filed under the name uncultured eukaryote. Its description in RNAcentral is "partial 18S ribosomal RNA". It matches the Rfam family "Eukaryotic small subunit ribosomal RNA", at positions 592 to 976 of the family's 1831-position model. The record is from RNAcentral.